GGAUUGUGGCUCAGUGGUAGAAUGCUCACCUCACAAGUACGGGACCCUGGGUUCGAUCCUCAGCACCA
Molecule: transfer RNA, 68 nt
Filed under: Marmota monax (woodchuck)
Lineage: Eukaryota; Metazoa; Chordata; Mammalia; Rodentia; Sciuridae
Description: tRNA.Val
Source: RNAcentral